This 683-nucleotide long non-coding RNA is filed under the name Pongo abelii (Sumatran orangutan). Its description in RNAcentral is "lincRNA". The record is from RNAcentral. Lineage: Eukaryota; Metazoa; Chordata; Mammalia; Primates; Hominidae.
GUUUUGAACUGGAAUAGCUGGUUUUAAACACUGACAUUAUGAAUGCUUGGGAUAAGCCAUUGAAAUGGCUGCAGACUUAAUUGGACUAAUGACCCAUUGCUGUUAUGCAUAAAACUCUGGUGUUCACAGAGAAUUGACAAAGCUGUGGAAAUGGUCCACAAAUAUGAACCCAGGCACAAAGGCUACUGCUCUAGAACUCCCUUCUUCUUACUCCUGAAAUGUUGGAUGAUGCUAUGGGAAACAGAUGAGUUUGUCCAGGGAACCAUGUGGAGUAUGAACAGAAGGAAGGCAAGAAAGGAACUCAUCAAACGGAUUGAAGAUAAGAGAUGGGAGGGCCCGGGACAUCUUCCAUGGUGGCUCCUGUCCAUGGGACACCUGGCUGGUACCCACAGAAAGUUGGCUUCCAGCCGUGCUUGAGUGAGAACAGUGAGGGCCCUUGCCUUCCUACAGUGAUUACUCGAUAAAUGAUCACUGUCAUUGUCACAUAAUAACGUGGCUAUUAUGAUCAUGGACAGAGCAAAAAUAAGUGACUGUUUUUCAAGAGUCUAUUUGGUGUAGACUUCUCCAGAGGCAGAACUGUGGAAUAAAAUUAUUUCCAGUGGUCCCUCCCAGCCCCUUGGCUCCGUAAUUCUCCCACUUUAAUAUGUGACUAGUGAUUAAGAACUAUCUUGAAAUUUUGAUUU